This 2482-nucleotide long non-coding RNA is filed under the name Equus caballus (horse). RNAcentral describes it as "lncRNA (ENSECAG00000047578.1)". The record is from RNAcentral. Lineage: Eukaryota; Metazoa; Chordata; Mammalia; Perissodactyla; Equidae.
GGAAUGUUUAUUUCCUACUUUGUUUAAAAGAAAAAGAUAUCCAUUUUGCUUUCUUGAUUUUGAAGUUAUAGAAAUUAUCUAAUUUACUCCUCCUAAGGCAGACAAGGGUUUUGCUUGCUCAGUGUCCUCUGUGCCCAUCACUGCCACAUCCUGAAACUCCGUCAAACCUGCGAAACACUUCUCAGUCAAGUCAAGAACAUUAAUACCUGAUCUACUGUUUUCCUUGGGGACUUCUCUAUGAAGCCUGUCACUGGCUCCAGUGUGGACUGGGUUCCCCUUGGCCAGCUGCAUAGCAGGCAUAAUGGGCCUUCUUUUCUUUGUCGUCUCUCUCUCCUCCUGGGAACCCUCUGUUUCCUGGAUCUCAGGCUUUUUCAUUGAUUCUCUUAUCUGCGCCUAUGCACUGAGCGAGAGGCCGUGGGCAAUGAAUAUGUUGACAUCUUGCACAUCUGAGAAUAUUGUUAUUCCACCCUCAGACUUGAUUUAUAGUUGAGUUGAGAACAUAAUUCCAGUUAGAAUUCAUUUCCUCAGGACUAUGAAGCAUUUCUCUAUUGUCUUCUACCUGCCAGUAUUGCCACUCAGAAGCUUGAUGCCUUUAUAAUUCCUGAGCAUACGUGACCUGCUGCUUUUUCAUGUCAGGAAGCUCUUAGAAUCCUCUCUUUAGUGCUAGUGUUCUGCAUUUUCUUGAUGAUACGCUUUGGUAUGGUCUUUUUUCCUCUUUCUGCUAGAUAGGAAGUGGGCCCUAUUAAUCUGGAAAUUUAUGGCCUUCAAUUAAUGGAAAUUACUUGUUCUUUGGGAUAUUGAAUGGAAAAUGUUUAAAAUUCCAGAUUCCAACUACAAUCUUUCGGAACCUAAUCUCAGGAGUGGCAUUCCAUCUAUUGGUCAUAUUCUAUUUGUUGAGGCUCGUCAGUAAACUCAACUGGAGGGGAGGAGAUUACACCAGCAUGUGAGUACCAAGAAGGGGACCAUCCGGAGCCAUCUUGGAGGCUGCCUACCACACCUUACUUAAAAACAGACAAGAGUCAGAAUCUCUUCACUUCAUCUGCUUUUCAUGAGAGUGAAACAGUGUUACCUGUAGCAAUACAGGGCCUCAGUCUGAUGUCGAAGAUUUUCCUGAGAUCUCCUACAGACAGAAGGAAUAUGGAAGACUUUUUUCCCCAGAACAGCAACUACAAUAAUUCUAUAAGAUGAUCUUAUCCUGCUAAGAGUAUUAACAAGAAAAAUCACUAAUAGGAAAAUUAAGAGACAUUCAUUACAAAAGUGAUUACUCAAACUCAAAUACAGUUAUCUCAUUUCUCAAAGAAAAGUCUAAAAACCCAGAGAAUUAAAAUCGGAGUUUUUGAGGCAGUUUCCAUAACUCUAUCAUUUCCAGCAGGGAGAAAAAUCAGAGGUGAACCACACCUGGUUCUCUGGGGACAUUUGCUCUGGGGGAAGCCAGCUACCAUGUAAGAAGCCCAAUUUCCCUGGGACUGAUUGUAAAGGCCAGAGGUAGGCCUUCUGAAGGGAAGCCUUACUGAGCUCUCAGCCACCGGCCAGCCACAAUGAGCAGUCACAUGAGUGAAUGACUUGGAAGUCCAGCUCUGUUCAGCAUGCUGAUGUCUGACAUUUGCCUGCAACUGCAUGAAAGAUUCCAAUUACCCCCAGUCAAUCACAGACAUCAUCUGCUCCUGACAUCCAACCAUCCACAUCGUCAAGGCUCGAUGAUGCUCCUUCUGACGUAUCGUCAGAAGGCCAAUAGUAGCCUGAGGCUAUCACAACACCUCCAUCAUUCACGUUACUUCAUCUCAUCAUGUAGGCAUUGUAUCAUCUCACAACAUCACAAGAAGAAUGAAGUUGCAAGUCACUCAAGGGAAAGCAGAAUUCAAGAAGUGGAUGUCACAAAGCCGACACUGAAAGUGUAAUACUUGGUACCAACCAGGUUUUUGAAGCCAUCAAUGAAGAAAACCCAGACACAGCAUUUGAACUGACACAGACACACACACCCCCCAAAACAAACUUCUGAGGAGCAAAACAAAAUAAGUCCACUCUAGUUUGAAAUUUCUUAAUUAAGGGGUUAUUCACAUAAAUUUUCACAUGCUUACCUUAACAUUUUAUUGGAUAGCUUCUUCAGUAUUUCUAAGACAAAACAAAAAAAUAUUAUAAUUGUUUAGAUCUUUUAAAUACUUAGUAGCUUCAGUUCAAGUUCAUUUUAUUUUGCUUUUUGAUUGGCACAAUUUUAUCUUCCCCUCCUUGCCUAAGACAUAUCCAAGAAAUGCAUUAUCCAAAGUGAUUUCAUUACUGGAAGAAUAUUCAUUAAAAUGUUUGCGAAGUCCUGUGGUUUGAUAGAAUUUGCCCUUUGUUCCACAGCUUUCAGGACUAAAGCGUCUCCAAUUUCAGAGUCGUAAACACUCUAAAACCAUUUUCCUAUCUGUACUUCUUAUAGCUGAGUGAUGCUUUUCCAGGGAAGAGAGGUCUGUUGGAAUUCCCAGCCCAAUUUUAGAUCCAG